ACGCCCACACACACACACGAAUCAAGGAUAUGGGACACAACUUUUUCUUCAUUUAUAUUUAUAUUGUUCCAAAGAUUAUGACAUUAAUAUUAUCUUGUCAAAUAUGGCUUUGCCCACAUGGACUUCUAACGAGGAAAACUGUUUGAAAACUCAAGGCAAUUUUUAUUAAAACUUGCUGCUAUAAUUCUAGCAAUACAAUUAAGUUAGGUAAGGAUCUUGCUAGGACUUAGUUCGCGUAAAGACUUUUAACGAGCUCAAUAGACUUAUGUCGAUCUCUUCGAUCUUGUCAGCUGAAAACUGAGUUCAGUCUUGACAUCAAGUAGGAGCUCUUGUGUUCUUUGGGAUCUUUCUCUUAAACUGAAAGGUCAAUCUAGAGAUUUGCAUGUGUUGUACGACAUGAAAACUUAAGCUUUUAAACAAGGUCACACGUAUAUUUAAAUAUUGUCUUCAACAUGCCUCUCCACAUCUAGGAACGUCAAAGCCUCAUAUGUGCACAAUUUCGUUGAAUGGGUGCCAGCACGACCUAAACCCAUGACCUACCAUGCUAGAUAUGUAUAUUAAUUCACUAAUUCUCUCUCAUAAUUUCAUUCUUUCUACAUAUCUACUAACCCGUCCAAAAUUCACUGUUUCAUUGUUUGCAAAGGGAUUAUUAUUAUUUAUGGAUCUUGACCUCCAGCACAUUUAGCCCAUGUUUGGCCCCUAUUAAAUUAAAAUUUAAUUUUCUCUCUCCUCUUAUUAACCACAUAUUCUCCAAUAAAAUAAUAUUACGCGUAAACUUAAAAAAAUUUCCUUCAUUUUUAACCACACAUUCUCCAAAAAAUUACUACUCCCCUCGUUAUAAUUUGGUAUUUGUGCCCAAUAGAAGUUAGACAUGGCCAGUAACUGUAUAAUAUGGCAGAAAACAAACAUAACUGUGGUGCUCUUUUUUAUUGUGAUAUUCAGAAGGUGGUUAUUGAAUUCAUUGUAUGUUCUUGCCUUUGUUUUGAUUAUAUUUGGUAUGAUGCUUGCAUAGUCUGCUAUUCCAAAUCUAAAUUUCCAUUCUAAGGUUGGAGAUUAAGGACAAUAUUUGAUGGCAAAUAAUAGUUAUGUCAUGAUUAAGAAAAUUCAAAACAGAAAUGGUAAAUCUCUUUCUAGACUUAAAUGUAAGCUAUGAAACUAUAUAAGGAUUAUUUUUGAAGCAACUUAUAAGUAAUCUAGCAAGACGUGUAGAAUGGCAAAUUAAUUAUCUAAUGCUAAAUACUAUUCAAAAUUCGGCAAAACUAAUUUGAAAAUAGUUUGGGUUUGACUUAACGUUAUGUUGCAGCCCCUGGGAUUUUCAGAUAAUAUCAAACCUGAUGAUGUAAACCCCCGUUUGGUUUUCCACUAUGGUAUCCCUACAGGAUCCAUGUUGCUGGCAUAUGACUCCAUUCAACAAAUUCUUGCUAUCGCAACUAAGUAAGUUUCUCUUCCAUAUUUUGGUCAAAUAUCGUUCAAGUUGCCUAAGUAAUCCCCUUUAAUGUGUUUUGCAAAAAUGGUUGAAUGUGGA
RNAcentral lists this long non-coding RNA (1525 nucleotides) under Olea europaea (common olive). RNAcentral describes it as "long non-coding RNA (OEUR_LNC013629)". Lineage: Eukaryota; Viridiplantae; Streptophyta; Magnoliopsida; Lamiales; Oleaceae. The record is from RNAcentral.